Molecule: ribosomal RNA, 424 nt
Filed under: Fusobacteriota bacterium
Lineage: Bacteria; Fusobacteriati; Fusobacteriota
Description: Fusobacteria bacterium partial 16S ribosomal RNA
Rfam family: Bacterial small subunit ribosomal RNA
Source: RNAcentral
UGAGGAAUAUUGGUCAAUGGGCGAGAGCCUGAACCAGCCAAGUAGCGUGCAGGAUGACGGCCCUAUGGGUUGUAAACUGCUUUUAUGUGGGGAUAAAGUGCGUGACGUGUCAUGCAUUGCAGGUACCACAUGAAUAAGGACCGGCUAAUUCCGUGCCAGCAGCCGCGGUAAUACGGAAGGUCCGGGCGUUAUCCGGAUUUAUUGGGUUUAAAGGGAUCGUAGGCUGUCUAUUAAGCGUGUUGUGAAAUUUACCGGCUCAACCGGUGGCUUGCAGCGCGAACUGGUCGACUUGAGUAUGCAGGAAGUAGGCGGAAUUCAUGGUGUAGCGGUGAAAUGCUUAGAUAUCAUGACGAACUCCGAUUGCGCAGGCAGCUUACUGUAGCAUAACUGACGCUGAUGCUCGAAAGUGCGGGUAUCAAACAGG